This 64-nucleotide transfer RNA is filed under the name Teredothyra matocotana. RNAcentral describes it as "tRNA-Ser". The record is from RNAcentral. Lineage: Eukaryota; Metazoa; Mollusca; Bivalvia; Myida; Teredinidae.
GGUCUUCUUGGAGUGAAUGUUGUCUUGAAAACAACUUAAGGGUGUUCGAAUCAUCUAAAGACUU